AUGGUAAGGGAACCCUUUCUUUUCUUUGGGUCUAAGAGAUUAUAUCAUGGCUAUGUCUAUUGGUGUGUUAGUUUGGAAUGUCAGGGGCUGAAUAACCCUGCUAUGCGUAACUCGGUCCGUCUAUUUCUGCAAACUUGCAAUGCUUCCCUUGUUUGUUUUCAAGAAUCAAAGUUGGUUCUGGUGGAUAAUGUGAUGGUUGGGCAAACUUUAGACCCGGCCUUUGAUGGCUUUGAUUUUCUUCCAGCUGAGGGAACUAGAGGGGGGAUUCUGCUUGCUUAG
Molecule: ribosomal RNA, 279 nt
Filed under: Triticum aestivum (bread wheat)
Lineage: Eukaryota; Viridiplantae; Streptophyta; Magnoliopsida; Poales; Poaceae
Description: partial small subunit ribosomal RNA
Source: RNAcentral